RNAcentral lists this ribosomal RNA (749 nucleotides) under uncultured bacterium. RNAcentral's name for it is "bacterial SSU rRNA". It matches the Rfam family "Bacterial small subunit ribosomal RNA", at positions 8 to 755 of the family's 1533-position model. The record is from RNAcentral.
AGAGUUUGAUCAUGGCUCAGGACGAACGCUGGCGGCGUGCUUAACACAUGCAAGUCGAACGGAGUGUCCCAGACAGAGGUUUCGGCCAAUGGAAGGGAACACUUAGUGGCGGACUGGUGAGUAACGCGUGAGGAACCUGCCUUUCAGAGGGGGACAACAGUUGGAAACGACUGCUAAUACCGCAUGACGCAUUUAGGUGGCAUCACCUGAAUGCCAAAGAUUUAUCGCUGAAAGAUGGCCUCGCGUCUGAUUAGCUAGUUGGUGGGGUAACGGCCCACCAAGGCGACGAUCAGUAGCCGGACUGAGAGGUUGACCGGCCACAUUGGGACUGAGAUACGGCCCAGACUCCUACGGGAGGCAGCAGUGGGGAAUAUUGGGCAAUGGACGCAAGUCUGACCCAGCAACGCCGCGUGAAGGAAGAAGGCUUUCGGGUUGUAAACUUCUUUUAAGUGGGAAGAGCAGAAGACGGUACCACUUGAAUAAGCCACGGCUAACUACGUGCCAGCAGCCGCGGUAAUACGUAGGUGGCAAGCGUUGUCCGGAUUUACUGGGUGUAAAGGGCGUGUAGCCGGGUGUGCAAGUCAGAUGUGAAAUCUGGAGGCUCAACCUCCAAACUGCAUUUGAAACUGUGCAUCUUGAGUAUCGGAGAGGUAAUCGGAAUUCCUUGUGUAGCGGUGAAAUGCGUAGAUAUAAGGAAGAACACCAGUGGCGAAGGCGGAUUACUGGACGACAACUGACGGUGAGGCGCG